CAGAUAAGCGCUAUCUAGGGGGAAAAGUCGGCGGCGGCGUUACCGUCCGCGGAAAUACGGUUGAACGGACGUCGUCGUCGUUGUUUUUCCGGCAAAAUGUCGCACGCAACGGUGGCGACGACUUUGUUCUGUCCUCUGGAAAACUGUGUACAAAUAGGAAGCAGGUGACCUAUUAGUACCAUAAAUACGAGAGAAGAAAGGUUUUCUCCUCACCGGUAAUGUACUGUACAAACCAAAGGCCCAUGACUAAUGACUAAUGGCUUGCCUGCCGGUUUAUCAGGGAAGGAAAGAGUCGGUUGUCUGCGCGUUCGGAGAAGGAAAGACCUGCCGGAACCGGCGCGUCUUCACCGGAUUGCUUCAAGGUUAGUUCGGGAACCCGAGGAAGAAACGCCCGGGUCUUCUUCUGAAAGGGGUCGGCCGCAGGUCCUGGGUCCGGUUGGAUUACAUGGAUUUGUUCACAUAAUUUGGGUGGAACCAAUAUAUGUAUUAAUAAACGGCGCAUCCUUAGGGUUAGGGUGACGCGCACGUGCCUGGAACACAUAGGGCAAGUACUCGGAAACGGAGUCUAAAGUCUCUUCGUCCUUGUUCUUGGCCACAGUGAAUUCCCUCCGUCCCUCACGUGAGCUGAAUCCCAACCGGAAGAGUCUCAGACUCACCUUUUUCACGCACAUUUCCAUCCAGCGCUGCUGUUGGCUUGUUAAUGUUACGAAUCGUCGCUAUUCGGAUGAAGUUUUACGCAGCUGCUCGUGUGAUAAAAAUCGGUUCGUAUGGUGGAAAGUAGCAAGCGAACUCAGUCUAACUCUGCAUCUAAGUAUCUCUUCCUGCUAAUUUAUUGAACACAUUGUAUUUUCUAUGAGAUGUACGUCACUUUGGAGAACACACACACGCGCACACACACACACACUGUCUGAAACCCCUUGUCAUAUCCAGGGUCGCAGCGAACCAGAGCCUAACCUGGCAACACAGGGCGCAAGGCUGGAGGGGGAGGGGACACACCCAGGAUGGAACGCCAG
RNAcentral lists this long non-coding RNA (1013 nucleotides) under Scleropages formosus (Asian bonytongue). Its description in RNAcentral is "lncRNA (ENSSFOG00015027056.1)". Lineage: Eukaryota; Metazoa; Chordata; Actinopteri; Osteoglossiformes; Osteoglossidae. The record is from RNAcentral.